Molecule: long non-coding RNA, 1335 nt
Organism: Orbicella faveolata
Lineage: Eukaryota; Metazoa; Cnidaria; Anthozoa; Scleractinia; Merulinidae
Source: RefSeq, a predicted model, not a curated record
AAGAGACGAGGAAAAGAUUAAGAUCUACGAGGUAGAGGCCAAAACAAUGCGUGACUGAUCCAUUAACUUUCCCCCGUACUUACCAGACGAAAUUACCUAAAAAACGCCAGGGAGACGAGAAAAUGCCACUCAACUUCCGCGUCAGCUCUUAAACAAGCAGCGCAGCGAGCUGCUGCGGAAACAACGUUCAGAACUAACCUUCAUACGAAAUAUUACAACUUUAAAUAAAGGCUAAUGACUUACUUAAAUGUUUUCUACCCAACUACCUUACUCACUGGAAAUCGUACGAUUUAUGAAGGUAAGUUAUUCCUAGCUGUAACACUAAAUAUUUUAGCAACUCAUCAAAUGCGGCUUUCAAUGUCUUUUGAACCGAGAUCUAAGGAUAGUACUGUUUUGAAUUCUUCAAGACUCGCUGAUUUCUCGAGGCAGAUGAGUGAUCGACUAAUUGAAACUUGGACUUUUGUAUUUGUUUCGCAAAUUAGCAGAGAAACCCGAAAGAAAGCAAAGCGGUAUACCUUGAAAAUACUUAUCAAGAAUGCAGCCAUAUCGUUUGCGUAAGCAAAGUCCGGCAAUGUAAAGACAUGCAAUAUCCUGUUAACGAUUUGUAUGCAAUUUGUGUGUCGAAGAACACUUAUUACAGGAAUGAUGUUAUUCGCGAAAACAAAUUAUAUAGUUGGUUGAGUGCAAGUUAUUUCCCAGGGAGAUCUUUGGCCGCCAUAAGCACAUCAAACGGGGUAAAAUUUACAUCUCAGUGAAUCAUAACUGUCAUGAUUAUGAAUAAUUGUUUCAAGAUUGUGAGGUUCGCCCCUUUCAAGAAACCUCAGCGCUCUGUUUAGUUCAAUGGAAAGAGCACAAGUUACUCAAUCUUAUUCUAAAUUACUUACCAGUUCAUCAACAGUGUUUCAUGAGCACAUUGAAGUUCCAGCAGCUUAGAUUUUUGUCGCCGCUUCCUCUGACAUCAUCGCUUCUUGUUCAGCAGAACGGAACUGCAAUAUGUCUAAAAACUCAGUCACGCCACACCAGUUUGUGACGAUAUAUCGUCACGCCAUCCUCCUAGAGAUUUUUGUGAACAGCGGAUAUCCCCUAAAAUGAUGGCAACAAUAUGGCGGACGAGAGGUGUUUUAGCUGCGUUUUGUGCUCUCACUGUCGUAACAACUAUUGUGAACAAGCAUGUUUUGUCAGAUCUGAAGUUUACCUAUCCCACAAUCUUUCAAAGCUGGCAAACUGGAAGUGUUGCCUUGACGUUACUGUUCAUGAAUGCCUUAGGAUAUAUAGAACUCAACAUUGUACCAAUUAACAGGUAAUGAUAAUUUUUACAUCCUUUUGACUACAGUA